UACCAGCACCCCGAGUGGUCGGGACGUUUAUUGGGCCUAAAGCAUCCGUAGCCGGUCAUGCAAGUCCUCCGUUAAAUCCAGCCGCUCAACGGUUGGGCUGCGGAGGAUACUACGUGGCUAGGAGGCGGGAGAGGCAAGCGGUACUCAGUGGGUAGGGGUAAAAUCCUUUGAUCCAUUGAGGACCACCAGUGGCGAAGGCGGCUUGCCAGAACGCGCUCGACGGUGAGGGAUGAAAGCUGGGGGAGCAAACCGG
This 253-nucleotide ribosomal RNA is filed under the name uncultured bacterium. RNAcentral's name for it is "partial 16S ribosomal RNA". It matches the Rfam family "Archaeal small subunit ribosomal RNA", at positions 474 to 727 of the family's 1478-position model. The record is from RNAcentral.